Molecule: long non-coding RNA, 7219 nt
Organism: Felis catus (domestic cat)
Lineage: Eukaryota; Metazoa; Chordata; Mammalia; Carnivora; Felidae
Exons: 2
Source: RefSeq, a predicted model, not a curated record
AGAAAGAAAAAGAAAGAAGGAGAGAGGGAAGGAGGGAUGGACAAACCAAGGCUAACUUGGACCAAGCCCUCUGGGAGGACAGCUAGGAUCCUGAGAAGCCUACAAGAUGUGUGUUGAUCUGAUGACAUUAAAUACAAACCCUGACAUUUCUUUAAUUUUUUUCUUUUGUCGUGCCACAAAAAUUGAGGCAACUCAAAAGAGAGAUAUGAUAAAUCAAAAACUUACAAAUAAAAAGAUAGCAAGCUCGAGGAAAAGAGCAAUACACUAGAACGACAGGAUCGGAGGAAAGCACACUUUGGGGUCAUCCACGCUUAGGAAAGGAAAGGUGAGCUCCCUCCUGGACUACACAGUCUUUGGGGCCCUCUGCUCGCCAGACUUGCAGCAGCUGGACAUCUACACAGAGUGAGCCCCCAAAGAGGAGAGUACAGCAGACGCACUGUGGGGUAUCCGUCCGUGCAGCCCAUAACGACCCCUUUUCUUCUGCAUCUGUCAGGGGGCUUGCGGUAUGACAGUCAACUGUGCUGGGGUGAACCUCUGGCCCAAGGGGAGCAGGGCAGAAUCUCUCUCCCAGACAUUCAGAACCGGGCCUGAGAGCCGGCUUCUCGGAGCAGAGUGCACUCCUUAGUUGGGGCCUUAGAGCUCACUUGUAUUUUGUAAGGCUCCUGGUGCCUUCAGAAAUAAAGAAACAAGGUUACAAAAAUGAUGGUAUGUUUUUUAAUGUUUAUAUUGAACAAAUUAAUGCUUUUAACCCCAAAACUAGAGUGCCACAAAAAUGUUCUGUUCACAAGAUAAUUACAGGAUUUAUUAAAAAUAUUAAUUCAGGGUGCACUACAGGCGGUGUGGUCCAGAGCCAAACGGCCUGUGCCAACCUCCUGCUCCCCUCCCGCCACAUGCCCCUGAGGCUGUGAACUCUGGGAUGAGCUGGAAGCAGGAGGAAACUCAAGUGUGGCUGGCAGCAGGCAGACAAGGGGAGCUCCUACUCCUGCCUCUCCACCCUUUCCAGGGCUCAGUUCCAGGUCCUUCUGAGGCCCACUGACCUGGCCCCACGAGACACCUUCAUUUCCUUCCAGUGAGGUCCUCGUCCCUCCUUCACUAACUCCGCUUGAUGUGGAUUUCCACCAUCGGCAACCAAAAGAACUUUGCCAGAGACAGCUCGCAGAUAGCCCAGGUUCUUAUUUUUCACGGGAGGUGUGUUUUUUCACUCGCGAUGAAAUCCCCUCCCAGGGAGAAAGGGAAUUUUCAGCUUCCGCGGCCCUAGCCUGCAGAGAGUUCAUGCGUAUUCUCCCAAGGUGGAGGAGGCUUGUUUAAAAGAUGCUGAGUGGCAGGGAGAAUGUCACCUCAACAUCCCUCCGCCAAAGCCGGGAGAGGUUUGGCUGCGUCUCAAGGACGCCGGUUCAGACAAGGGCAGGCCUGGCUGCCUUACUGAGAGCCAGAGUCAUUUUCCUGGUGCUGGAGAAUGUUGGGGAGCCUUGGGGUCCUGUUUCAAGGCCUCUCCCCGAGCGGGAUGGUCCUAAAACCGGUUUCAGAGGGGAAGAUAGCGAGGUGAGGUAUCUGGCCUCUAAGCGGCUGCUUGGCUGACUUUCCUCCGUGGAAAGAUAGAACAGUGGAAGCUGGUUACGCUUAUGGAUCGUAUUUCCCCAUGGUUCCCACGGUGCCUACCAGUGAGCCUUAAAUAACACAGACACGCAGUAGCUCUUUGUGGUCCCCACUGCUGUGGCAACAUAAAGCCUUUUUCCUGUGCUCUUUGCUUAGGCAGCUGUGGGAGAAUGUUCCAGGACGCUCCUCCUCCCCUCCUAGUGCAAGUGGGAAUUCAUUCAUUUAGUCAACAAAUAUUUCCUGAGCACCUACUUUGUGCUAGGCUCUGUCUGGGUGCUGGGAACACCGGGGUGAUGAAUAAGAUAGCCAUGGCCCUUUCUGUAUCAGAACACACGACUUUUCAAGCCACCUUUUACCACUCACCUCCCAUAUACAUAACAGAAAAACACACAAACAAGAGCAAAUUUUGUCGUAUUUCUCUUGACCCACCAAAGAAUACCAACCAACUCAUUUCAGAGAGAGAGAGAGAGAGAGAAAGAGAGAGAGAGAAAAAGAGGGAGAAGGAGAGAAGCAGUCGCUAGAGAGGAAACUCCCAGUUUUGUGGUAGUCUCCCAGAACAAGGGGCCCAUUUUUGUCAUUCCUUGUUCAAAAAUCCCAUGUCCCCCACUCAACGCACGCACACACGUACAUAUGUUCCCCGCACAGUUUACAUUCAUAACAUGUACAGCUGGAGAGCAGUGAAGUCUGCCUCCCACAUUAUACAGAACGGAUUGGCAGCUGGGACUGAAGGCGAUAGAAAUAAGCUAUUGAUCAAGGGUUAUAACAGUACUGCCACUGGGAGCCCGUGAUGCUUGCAAGCUGAGGGCAGCAGUAAAGUGCUACACAAAUGCAAUAACAUUUAUAACCCCAGGGCAAGUGCUUUUUACAUGAAAAUAAAAAGCUGAUCCUCUGUUUAAUUCUUCCCCCCUCCUUGGGCCGGGCUGGCCAAGCGCUUGGACAGGAGCUAAGCAGGGCCCCUCGGGAUGGCCUGGCCUCUUGCUCUCUGGGAGGGAAGCAGCAGCAGCCGUGUCCUGCCAUCCUGAGGGGCCCAGUCAUGCCUUGGCCCCAUGGGUCUUCCUUGGUCAGCUUUGUGGAUGUUGCCUUGUCCUGUUGGGAGCUGAACUUUUCACUUGAAUGGAUGUUAGAAACUGCUCUUUAGAGCUUCAUUCUGGGACAUCUGUGAAAAGGAGUCCUACUUUCGGGAGACAUAAACGGAGAGGAGAGACAGCUCUGGAGGUAUGAUGAAACAGUAAGCGCGUCAUGAUGACCGAACCUGAGGAACCCAGCUUUUUCUUCCAAAACUCACCGGAUCAGUGCUUUUUUAUUAUUAUUUUUAUUGUUUUUUUAAAGUGUAUUUGUUUUGAGAGAGAAAGAGACAGAGCAUGUGAGUGGGGGAGGGGCAGAAAGAGAAGGAGAGAGAAUCCCAAGCAGGAUCCACACUGCCAGCACAGAGCCUGAUGCAGGAUGUGAAACCAUGAACCGGUGAGAUCCUGACCGGAGCCAAAGUCAAGAGCACGCGCGCCCCUGGACCAAUGCUACUUAACGUGUGCUCACAGGAACGUCAGUCUAUAAGAUGCUCCAUAAAAAUGGGACUGUAUGGCCAGUAAUUGGGACGAUGCUUCCUCUUAGGGAUUCCUAUUGCAUCUUUGCGAUUUAAAGGCUCUGAAAAGUCCUGUAGUAAAUUUUAGGAACAGUUUGAUUUUGUUCUAACAGCAUCUCCCAGGUUUACUUGACUGCCAAAGUGUCCUCUCACUUAGAACUUCUUUCGUCUUUUCCCCCCAUUACCUAAUGCCUCCUAACAGCACAUUUUGGAAAAACGCUGCCAAGGUACUUAUGGAAGGAUAUGAUAUAUUGCCUGCCGUGUAUCGUAUGCCUACCGUGUGCAAGGUGCUUGACAUGAAUUAUUUCUAACCACAAAAACAACUUGGCGAGUGUUAUUAUCCCUAUUUCACAGAUGAGAAAAAUGAGGCUAAAUCACCUGUCCAAGGCCCCUCAGCUAAGUAGUAGGUGAGCCAGGAUGCUCGUGUAGGCCAUUCCGAUUCCAAACUCCACGUUUUCUGUUAUACCCUGUGUCUCCCUAGGUGGACUAGAGACUGACUUCUCCUUUGGCCACAGUGAAGAUAAGUCUCUUCUUUGGAGACCCUUGUCUUGGAACCCAUUCAUUCUUCUGUAAGCCUUGCCUGGUUCAUCGCUCAGCCUGGCUCUAGCCCAUCUCGCCUUCCUUGUGGCUCAUGGGAAUUCCCAUUAGAAAGCAGAACCUGAAUCUAAGUAGCCAUGGGCAGGAGUCCCAGUUUUGCCAUUUACUAUUUAUGCGACUUCAGGCAACUUACCCAACCCCUCUAUACCUCAGUUUUCUUAUCUAUAAAAUUUUAAGUGUGCACAAAACAUCUGGCCUGGAAUGCUUAGUAAAUGGCAGCUGUUAAGUUUACUGUUAAUGGUCAACAGUAAGUCUUCGUUGGGGGGAAAACAAGCACAUGAGGAAGAUUUUAGGGAUCCCUCCUUUAAAUAUGGUAAGACAAGGUGCAGACAUUUUUGUGUUGAAGGCGAAAAAAUUGAAACCCAUUAAGCCAGUGACUUUUUCAAGUGUAUGGGCAGCGACUUGCAGAACUGGGACCCGGGCUCCCAGUUCCCAGAAACCUAAGACACCUGGUGUGUCAAAGAGCUAAAUGCACCUGAGAAGGCGGAGACAUUUAGACUGAAAAUCUUGGGAGCUAUUUCCAAUUGAAGGCCAAUCAGCCCUGAGGAUAAAAUGUCUCUGAAAUUGUAAGUUUGGUAAAAUUAAACAUGGGAAACUUUAGUUUUCAAGAUUAGAUCCAAAAUUAGAUUGGAAGUGGGGCCCACUUGUCUUAAUUACUAUCAUAUUUUGUUUGUUUGCUUGUUUUCUUUUGGCUGUAUACAGUUACUCAUCCCAAAGCAUUUUUCUUUAAAACAACAUUUUUGUAAAUUGACUUAGGUUCUAAUAACAGAUGAGCAUGAGAUCUCUGUGCUAAUGUUGUCAUACUCUCAGUUGGUUUUGCUCUGUGAUCUUUUUAGUUUCGUCUAGGCUGCUGAGGCAGGGACACUCCAGGAUGAAAAGAGCUGUCUUUAGGCACAGUUAGUCACAAAGCUUAGGUUGGAGCAUUUCAGCUUGGGAUGGGUCUGUUCCCAUCAACCCACUGACGUUUAUCAAAGGAAAUGUAAUAUUCAUCCAGAUUGGAAUUGGAAUGAGUUUUUCUUUUCUAUUAGAUGAACGGUGACAACACAAUGUACUUGGAAAAAUAAUAAGUUUGAGCUUCUUCUAAUUGAGGAAGGCAUUAAAAUAAAGUGUUCAUGGCCCUGAGACUCAUGCCCUGCACCCUCGGGGAGUCAAAAGUCCCCAAGUGGCUAUUGGAAAAUGCUUCUUGUUUUCUUUUGUUGUUGUUGUUGUUGUUGUUGUUUUUAAUUCUCACUCUCAAUACACUAGGAGAACAUAAUGUUUCAGGUCCCUACUUCUCAGUGUUAGCUGCAUAUCCACCAAUGCAAUUCUUAGCCCAAAGUCCCUAACCCUCUACUUGUAUUCACUCACCCAGAUGCUGGGAUGAUAGAAGUGGAGUUAUUUUAAAUUCAAUUAAUUCCUCUUUCUUUCACUUACAGCACCAGUCUUCAGUAAACUCGGCCUUUUGCAACUAUUAUCUGACUGGUUCUCUGCAGGCAGAGAGCGAAAGGAGUAGUAUGGCGUGCUCCAUACUCCAAGGAAAGUGAAUUGGCUGGACUUAAAAGGAGGGAAUCAUAUCUAGGCCUUCUGCCUUUUCGUUCCCGCCACUUUGGGGUGUGGUUCUCUGAGUGUUCUAGCUUGGAUGCACACAGUUGAUUAGUUUAACACUAAUGGGUGUCAAGUUCAUCCAGAGAGCAUGACCUCAGUAUGUAAAUUAUUCAGCAACGAGGUUGAUGUGACUAUUUAUAGGUCAUAAAUCAGUUAUAAACUCAGAAAUAUGAGAAUAGGUCCCUAAAUAGAGAAGCAAUUGCUACCUAUCCAAGGCUUAAUUUCAAGAUUCAGGGUUGAAGCCAGACAGAUUUCAUAUCUGAUACCCUUUGAAUUGGGCUUUGGGAGGAGUGGAUAAGGCAGGUGUAUUACUUACAGCAAGAAAUGAGGGGUAAGUUCAGGUAUGACAAAAUGGAUUCAGGUCAUGGCUGCCUAGUGCACUGGGUUGAGAAGGAUUCUGAGGCCAAGUUCAGGCUCUGGGAGUUGGUUAUUCCUAGCUCGGUCGUUUCAUACCCUUUAUUCAUUAGUGACAGAUGUUUCAUGAAAGUGACGACACGGGGUCACGCACGGGUUCACCAAAAUUGUCCUGCUGAACCUUAUAUAUUGAUGCAUCCCCUGCCAUACCAGGCAAGGAAAAAGAAACCAGACUCUUAGAGCACUGCUAUGCCAUUUUCAAGAUUGGGAUGAUGAAGAAGAAAUAGGGACACUCGAAGGUCCAGCUCUGACCAGUCAGGUUGCUGGCUGGAUUUGGGGCAGUUCCUUGCUGUCAUCAUCCAGAGGGGAGGUUUCCCUGCCAUGUCUAGGUUCUGAGACUCAGCCUGCCUCCAUUCUGCUUUAGUAGUGCCCGUUUCUCUCACUCGGGAUCCAAGUCGAUUCAAGUGCACCAUUCCAUCUUAUUUCAGUGUGAAGGAAUGCCAGCCUGACAAUAUACACUUGAGGUCAUUCCUAAAGCUAUAAGUAGCUCCAGCCUCGUAACCUUGGAUAAAGCCCUAAAGGAGUCCCCUUCCUUCAAUGCACAGGCCUUUCAAGGCUCUGACCCCCAGGAUUAUGAUUCCCAUGGCUGCUGCUUCUCUCGUUCCUCUCUCUAGGCCCACAUCAAACAAACAAUCACUCCUAGACCUUACUCUGGUCUCUGAAAAAUCAGGUCACGUCCUGUUUGGAUGCCAGGCACACCCCUGUGGCUUUCUGUUCAGAAGUGCACUAUCUUUACAGCCCCUUGGUUCAUCACCCUGCCUGCCACCUGCAGGUACCCUGCUUCUCGCAGGCUUCAUUUUCCAGCCUUUGCUGGUCCCGGGGCUCAGUGAUAGCACCCCUUAGCUGUUCUGAUUCAGCUCCUCUUCUGUGCAAAAUUUCCCUCUUUUCUAAAAGAAUUCUUGUGAUCUCCAUAACUUCCCUAUUGUCCCUUGGGAAAUCACCCUAAACAGGAAAUCAUUUACAUGUAUGAAGAGCCUAGGUGCCGGCACUCAUCCAAACUUUUACAAGCAUUAUUUCAUUUAUUCCCAGUAACAAUUCUGUUACUAUCCCCGUCUAACAGAUGAGAAGACCGACGCAUGUGCAGUUGUCCAGAAUCACAUAUCAAGUGGUAGAUGGCGAUAUGAUUUUGGCAAUCUGAUUCCAACUUAUCAUUUUGCAAUAUUGCCGUUCGACGAUUCAGAAUCACAUUUGCACCGCAAAGGCAGUUAUCGUCUUGUCUGGGAUAUCUCCACUGUUUUUUUUUUUUUUCAAAUUCAUAAUAACCUUUUUUUAACCCCCUAAUGAUAAAACACAUGUUUAUUACAGGAUUCUCUAACCUUAAAAAAAAAAAAAAAACCCAAUGAUUACAUAAUCGUGUUUGCCUUGUGAAAAUUUACUGCUUUGUACAACCUGUGAUCUGUGCACUUCUCUGUAUGAAUGCUCUACUUUAAUUAAAAAGUUUACAUACAA